CAAGCUCGCCGUGCAGGGCAUCAGGAGAGUAUGAGGUAAUGUCUGAAGCUUGCUGUUGCUCCCCGGCCCCCGGGCGUUGAAUCUGACAUGAGGACGAAGGUCACUCCAGAUCGGAGAGAGGAGUCCAUGGUGGACUGACGACUUGCCAAUGGCCUGCCUGUGUAUUCUUGCUUUGCGCGAUAUCUGCUAUGCUACAUUCAUCUGGGUAGCCUGGCGUUCAACUCUACAUUGUCAACAAGAGGCAAGGUGACAUUGUUGGUGUUGCUAUUCCGUGCUGCCUAGUUCACCAAGGUUCCCACCCAUUUGUCUAUGACAAAAGAAUUCUUAGGAAUAUAUCACUGAAUACCGCCGCAAUAGAGUCGCGAGUUUUCCUGUCUUGCCUAUUGCAAGAGCUGUUGUGUAUGGUUGCAAGCGGAAGCUCAUUCAAAAGCUUGUGCCUCUAUUAAGAGAGAUCUGCUCUGCAUUUCUUAUCUCUCUCUAUGUAUAGUGAUUUCCUCUGUUCUUUGUCAAAUUAACAUGGUUUUGGUUUGUUUGCAGGACGAUUUCCAAUUUCAGUUACCUUUGUUCCAAAAGUGUCUAAUUUAUUGAACUGCUGAGACACCUUACGGUUGUUUUGUUGUUGUGUCGGGGUUACAAAUGGCCGAAGAUUACUUGAUCGAUAAUGGCAAUAUAGGGCAGAUGAUAUAUCAUAUUUGACGAGCUCGUGGCCAUGUAGUCUCAUCUUAUUUGUAUUUCUAUAUUUUUAAUAUUGUAUUUACGUCCACUGCAAUAUUACGUAACUGAAUGACCUUCCCAUUAAAUAGAAUUAUCUGUCUGCAGUUAUAUGGAACUCUAUUUUCUCACCUGACUUAUGAUGGAAAUUACUCAUGUAUAUUGGAGUUUAACUGACUGGUGCCCUACUAAUACAGAUGGCUGGGUGAGUCUCCCUUUUUCUGUCUAAAUGAGUUUAUUAGAAUAUCCAAUGAACUCUUUUAAAUGGAAGUAGGACGCCUUCAAGUAUGUGUAAUGAAUAUUAAUCAGUAGAUAAGCCAUGAACAGUCAAACCAUUAGCAAUGAGAACCCAUGCCGCUCUCUUGAGCUUUGGCACUACCUGGAUCCUUUACUUCCCCGUGCCGCUCGGCUUCCUCUGCAGGUGGGCUAUCCUGGUGAUGGGUGAUGGGACCUGGAAGACAAGGUGUUCAUGGUGAUGGGUGUCGGCACUGCCAACACCCAUCACCACUCGGCACCUCCGUUAGCUCAACUGUCGGAUCACGUUCUCCAUGAUGAACUACUCAACUUUGGUAUUUUGCAGUUCAGGAUCUCUACUUGGCGGUUUAGUUGAGUUCUGUUUUCAUUGUUUUUGUGCAAACAUGAUCCAAGAUAAAGCAAAGAGCGAUAAAUAAUUUUUAGAUGAUAUAAGAUGGCUAUGAUAAUAUUUUUCUCGUGACUUACUCAACCUUGGCCUUUUGCAAUUAAGGAUCAGGCAUCUACAUUGUGGUUUAAUUGUAGUUUCAUCUGAUUUUUUGGUGGGUUCAUGAAGCAAGGGAUGGUAACUAAUUUUUAAAUCAUAGAGGAAGGCUAUCACAAAAACUUAACUGGUAGUUGGUGGAUACAUGAAACGAGGCCUCUGGAUAGGGAGAAAGGAGGCGAGGUGAACCAGCUGCUAUCGUUGAUCGUCCUGGCCAUGUCCUCUUUCUCUACAGACAUUUGUAGAAGUCUCAUGUCAUUGUGCAGUUCGAUCGGAUAGCAGCUCAGGAUUAGUUGAUCUCCAACCAGUUAGCGAGAAACAGUCAUAGAAGUGUCAUGUUAUUUUGCAGUUUGAUUUAAGAGCUGCUCGGGAUAAUUCCAGUAGGUAUUGUCAUGGUAGAUAGUUGCUAUCUCAUCUGUUCAAUGCCUCUACCACCCGGGUAUGGCAUAUAUUAAGAUUCAGGAUUGUUUCGGUUUUUUAAAAUUUGGUUAUAAUAUAGGGACAAUGUCAGCCGAUUAUAAUAUAUAUGACAUUAGCUGAGCCCUAUUCAGCCAAUUAUAUGAUAAUGUUUUAAUCUAAGUAAAUCAAGUACAACUGUACCAUUUGGUUUUUUGAUUUUAUGAUUGGGAUUUAUGUGAUUUUGCAUUUUCGACUUAUGCUACACUGGGUCUCCAGUAGACGUUCUAUCUAAGGUUUAGCAUGAAAGUAUAUUAAUCGUUUGCCUUUAUGAAUCUGAACAUUAGCAUUUUAGUGGAAAGAUACAGUCCAAUUUAGUAAUAGAAGACAUAAAUAUUGUUACUGUUGUCUUUGUUACUGCAUGAUAAUGAUAAUUUGCUUAGUGUGGUGCUCUAUUUCUAAGUUACUUUCAUCCAAGUUACCUUGUUAGUAAUCUGUAGUUGAAUUACUGUGGGCCUAGGUUGUCCUCUUUGGUCUGGAUGGUUACAAACGUUGUGUGUAGUGUCAAAAAUUGUGAUAAAAUAUCUACCUAAUAUUUUAUGUUCAAUAUUCUUGCUAUAGCACUAGAUUCCACGGAAACGAGAAAUGUAGUGUACCGAGAGGUGCUCGAUUGUCUGUAGGCGCUGCUUCUUACAACCAUGUGUUUUAAUGUAGAUACUUUCAGCUUUAAUUCUCUUGCGUUUUUCAGUAAAUGUGCAUUUAAUUUCUUAUGCCCUUCUAUUCUUUACGUGUGCCAUUUCAACUUAGCAACUAAUGUUUUCUGUUCAUAUCCAUUUUGUUUUUGUGCUUAGGUUUCCCUUUAUGAUGAAGCUAUUGGUGCUACCAUGGAUGGAUCUCCUCCUGUUUAGAUACUGCUUUGGUUCAAGGUGAUAUACAGUGAACCAUCUGAAGAAAAGGCAGUUCCUGUUGAGAGUUGGUUCAAAAGCUAUGUGCAUAAGCUCGAGACCUCAAGUCGCUUAAUGAAUACAGCCAGUGCUUAGUUUCGUGUAUAUUUUUAGGCAGUGCAAGAAGUACAUAGCCACUCUUUUGUUUUCUGUACAUUUCACGUGAUGAGACUUCUUCCGACUCUUUG
Long non-coding RNA from Lolium rigidum, 2975 nucleotides. RefSeq lists it as uncharacterized. NCBI's taxonomy places the organism in Eukaryota, Viridiplantae, Streptophyta, Magnoliopsida, Poales, Poaceae. The transcript has 5 exons. The record is from RefSeq and is a predicted model, not a curated record.